RNAcentral lists this transfer RNA (73 nucleotides) under Cordylochernes scorpioides. RNAcentral describes it as "tRNA-Arg". It matches the Rfam family "tRNA". Rfam says of the family: Transfer RNA (tRNA) molecules are approximately 80 nucleotides in length. Their secondary structure includes four short double-helical elements and three loops (D, anti-codon, and T loops). The record is from RNAcentral. Lineage: Eukaryota; Metazoa; Arthropoda; Arachnida; Pseudoscorpiones; Chernetidae.
GCCUCCGUGACCUAAUGGAUAAGGCAUCGGUCUCCUAAACCGGGGAUUGCCGGUUCGUGUCCCCUCGGAGAUA